This 387-nucleotide ribosomal RNA is filed under the name uncultured bacterium. RNAcentral's name for it is "bacterial SSU rRNA". It matches the Rfam family "Bacterial small subunit ribosomal RNA", at positions 29 to 408 of the family's 1533-position model. The record is from RNAcentral.
AACGAACGCUGGCGGCGCGCUUAACACAUGCAAGUCGAACGAGAAGCUGUAGCAAUACAGUUGUACAGUGGCGAACGGGUGAGGAAUACAUGGGUAACCUACCCUCGAGUGGGGAAUAACCAGCCGAAAGGCUGGCUAAUACCGCGUACGCUUCCCAGUCUGCGGGUUGGGAAGGAAAGCUCUACCGUGGGUAGAGCGCUCAAGGACGGGCUCAUGUCCUAUCAGCUUGUUGGAGGGUAACGGCCUACCAAGGCAACGACGGGUAGCUGGUCUGAGAGGACGAUCAGCCACACUGGCACUGCGACACGGGCCAGACUCCUACGGGAGCAGCAGUGAGGAAUAUUGCGCAAUGGGCGACAGCCUGACGCAGCGACGCCGCGUGGGGGA